This is a non-coding RNA of Sturnus vulgaris (Common starling), 724 nucleotides long. The record is from RefSeq and is a predicted model, not a curated record. NCBI's taxonomy places the organism in Eukaryota, Metazoa, Chordata, Aves, Passeriformes, Sturnidae.
AAGUUCUCCUUCAGCUGCAGGUCAGGCUGUUUGAGAGAACAGAAGUGGUUGGCAGCAGCUUCCUAGGACACACACCUGAACCCACAUUCCCAGACUGCUCUGGCAAGGAUGGAAGAAGGGGAUAGAAGUUCCAUGGGAAUCUGACACACAGCAAGGGCUCACAGAAUGCACUCUGCAGCCAUGAAAGGAUACAAAGGCAGACAAAACGUUAUGGAAUGGGAAAUGCUGUGAUUCUGGAAUAUCAGAGCAGUGAUGGAUGCCGUGAGGAGAAUAUGAAAAGAAUGCUCUGGAAACUUGGACUGUGUGAGUACCUUUAUAACCAAAGCUGGAAAAAAAAGCUCUAAGCUACAGAAUUGCUACUUUGUCAGGAUGCUAAAGGAAAGAUCACAGAAUCACAGAUUUGUUAGGGUUGGAAGGACCCUCUGGAGAUCACCGUGGCCAAGGCAGAGUCACCUGGAGCAGAUGAAAUAAAAAUAGUGCCGAGGUGGGUUUGGGGUGGCUCCAGAAAAGGAGACCCCACACCCUCCCUGCCACCCUCAUGGAAAGCAGCUCUUCCUCAUGUUGAGGCGGAACUUCUGGUUUAGUUUACAGUCAUUGCUCCUCGUCCUGUCGCUGGGCACCGCUGAGGAGUCUGGCACCAUCCUCUGACACCCUCUGGAGAUAUUUUUAUUCAUUAAUGAGAUCCGUCCUCAGCGUUCCCUUCCCAGACUAACCAGGCCCAGCU